This is a long non-coding RNA of Lycium barbarum (goji berry), 1957 nucleotides long. RefSeq lists it as uncharacterized. The record is from RefSeq and is a predicted model, not a curated record. Lineage: Eukaryota; Viridiplantae; Streptophyta; Magnoliopsida; Solanales; Solanaceae. The transcript is spliced from 6 exons.
CAACAUUCAUCUCCUUAAUAAAUUUUAUGUAACUGAAAAGAAACGUUCCUCACCAAAACCUACCGCUUCUUCUCCUCUUCUUUCCCUUUUCCAUUUCCCUGUUCCAUCGAAUUGUCUUUUUCCUGUUCCCAUAUUCUGAUUAUGUUUGCACACUUGAUUAUUUGGAUUUAGGGUAUAACGUGGCCUUUCCCUGUAAACUUUUCCUUUGGGGGAUUUCUUUAUUUCCAGGUUCUUUUUUCCCCUUUGGGUUCUAACUAUUGCUCUGUACCAUCAAGUAUCCAUCUCUCCUCAACAAUUAUGAGCAAAGCUAAUCUCACACAUUUGUGAUUUUUGAUCUCAACUUAUAUUUUUAGAUUUGUUAAAUUAUUCUGCUGAAAUGCUUCACUUAUUUGUUGUUAUUGGGUUGAAUAAUUCGGUAUUUCCUUUUGUAUUCUAAUUAUUUAUAGUUUUUUAAUGGAGAUGUGGAGGAGUGCUCUUCUGAGAAUUGGGGUGGACAUAGCGUAACGCUACCAAAAGGACACGUUUCGGGCCUCUUGAGGAGGGUUUCUCUGCCAACUUGGGGUCUAAAACGCCAUCAUGUUUCAAGUGACAAGUGGAUACUUCUUAUCACACUCUAAUACAUGUUGUUGGAUAUACCAUUGUUCUGUUUAUCCACUCCUUUAAUACAUGCCAGAAACCUUUUCAUAUUGAACGUUACUUAGAUUCCACUGGAAAUUUCCACACCUUGAGGGAAUGGGAAACUGAAUUUUGGGAGUACCUUCCGGUUUGAAACCAUUAUUUUAAGCGAACAAACCAGAGUUAUCUGUGAGUCUGAUCCACUAAGCAGAGUCAGAAGGAGGUUUCCCGAAACAAGAAUCCAGCAUGACAAUAUGUGACAAACCUCUUCAGGAGGUCGGCUGUAAUCCAGCGGAUUCCGUCCAGUAAUUAUCUCCAUAAUAAGAUUUUCAAAACUAUAGGCAUUACUUUUUUCACUCAACAUGUUAGUACCAUAUUCUGGGGCAACAUAAUUGAUAGAAAGGGGUAAAUUUGCAAUUUUCUUUCCACGAGCAACUCAAUAUUCUUCCUGAUUGCAAUUUAUCUGUUCAAAUCUAUCUGCUUAGUUGAAUCGUUUUUGCAUUAAACUCCUCUUCCAAGUUCUAACAAUUGCUCUCUACGAUUAAGUCUCGGUUCUCUAAAAAAUUAUGAGCAAAGCUAAUCUUAUACACUUGUGCUUUCUGAUUUCAACGAGUCUUUUUAGAUUUGUUAAAUUAUUUUGGUGAAACGCUUCACUUUUGUGUUAUUAUCUGGUUGAAUAAUUCGCUAUUUCCUUUUGUAUUCUAAUUAUUUAUGGUUUUGUAGUGGAGAUGUGGUCGAGCGCAAAAUAAGGGCCUACAAAGGUCAUUCCUGAAACUUUCGACGGUUCAAUUAUACGUGAGCUUGACUGGAGAGGGCCUACAAAGAUGUGGUCAAGGAUAGAACAAGGGCCUGUAACGGUCACUCUUGAAACUCCAUUGGUUCACUAAACUAUAGGUCUUCAAUGAAAGACGUAAGAACUGUCGGAAAAUGAAAUAUUGAUGUUCAAAUAUUCACAAUCUAUAUUGUUAGCUUCUUUCAGAAAAUUUCUAAAAGUUUUUACUCUAAAGGGCGUGGAUAGUGGGAUCAAUCUCUCAUUCCUACUACUUAUCCUUUUCAAAGUGUGAGGAAGAUAUCAGUGGAGUAGAGCUUAAGAAAGAAUUUAGCAAUUUGAUCCUAAAUGUCUCGAGUAUUAUCUCCAAUUCUCGAUUAUGCAAAAUCCUUUAGCUCUCUGUUAUAUCUUCAUUGUUUUGCACUUUCACCUUUGAUUGUGUUUUUCCGUCUUGUGUUUAGUACUAUAGCUAAUGACACGAAGACGUAGGACUUUGUUUCUUUAAUGUUAAUGUAUCUCCUAUUAAUAAAGUUUAUUCUCAUUAAGUUGAUUAUCAUUUGGAAAAAUCUACUC